This 398-nucleotide ribosomal RNA is filed under the name uncultured Saccharomycetales. RNAcentral describes it as "eukaryotic LSU rRNA". The stretch from base 343 to 398 matches the Rfam family "Eukaryotic large subunit ribosomal RNA", at positions 1 to 56 of the family's 3401-position model. The record is from RNAcentral. Lineage: Eukaryota; Fungi; Ascomycota; Saccharomycetes.
UACAGAUCGUGUGAAUCAUCGAAUCUUUGAACGCACUUUGCACCUCGUGGCUCCUGUCACAAGGUAUAUUUGUUUGAGUAUCCUACACCAUCUCACCGCCUUUAGAGGCAGAGUGAAACUUGAGGGCAUCGACCGCCCGCCGCAACGGCAGGAACUGGUCGUUCCUUAAAAUGCGAGGCUCAUCGUGGAAAGGGCUCCGCGGGAAUUUGUAGCAGACCAUUGGGAUAAUAUCCCUGACAAUCGUCCGUCAAACUCCUUUGAGCGUUGCCCGGCCCAGAGCCCAUCUCAUUAUUUGAAGACAGUGUUCUGAUGCUGUUCUUCAAGUAAUAUCACUUACUUUAAAGAUCUCAAAUCAAAUAAGGAUACCCGCUGAACUUAAGCAUAUCAAUAAGCGGAGG